GAUGAACGCUGGCGGCGUGCCUAAUACAUGCAAGUCGAGCGAAUGGAUUAAGAGCUUGCUCUUAUGAAGUUAGCGGCGGACGGGUGAGUAACACGUAGGUAACCUGCCCAUAAGACUGGGAUAACUCCGGGAAACCGGGGCUAAUACCGGAUAACAUUUUGAACCGCAUGGUUCGAAAUUGAAAGGCGGCUUCGGCUGUCAGUUAUGGAUGGACCCGCGUCGCAUUAGCUAGUUGGUGAGGUAACGGCGCACCAAGGCAACGAUGCGUAGCCGACCUGAGAGGGUGAUCGGCCACACUGGGACUGAGACACGGCCCAGACUCCUACGGGAGGCAACAGUAGGGAAUCUUCCGCAAUGGACGAAAGUCUGACGGAGCAACGCCGCGUGAGUGAUGAAGGCUUUCGGGUCGUAAAACUCUGUUGUUAGGGAAGAACAAGUGCUAGUUGAAUAAGCUGGCACCUUGACGGUACCUAACCAGAAAGCCACGGCUAACUACGUGCCAGCAGCCGCGGUAA
RNAcentral lists this ribosomal RNA (515 nucleotides) under uncultured bacterium. Its description in RNAcentral is "partial 16S ribosomal RNA". It matches the Rfam family "Bacterial small subunit ribosomal RNA", at positions 28 to 523 of the family's 1533-position model. The record is from RNAcentral.